GAGCAGAGCUCCCUGUGCUAUACGGUGAGUGAGACAGAAUGAGAAACUUGUCCUUCACAUCCUGAUUCUUGUUCAGUGCUGAAAAUGUGACCUCCAUAAGAUGACAUCUACUGCCUCUGGUGUGCACAGAAAUCUGAU
Long non-coding RNA from Physeter macrocephalus (sperm whale), 138 nucleotides. RefSeq lists it as uncharacterized. The record is from RefSeq and is a predicted model, not a curated record. The transcript is spliced from 3 exons. NCBI's taxonomy places the organism in Eukaryota, Metazoa, Chordata, Mammalia, Artiodactyla, Physeteridae.